UUAGAUUUUCAUAUUCUGGAGACUCCUCCUAGUGAGCUUCAGAGUCUUUUGUUUGAUGAUAUUUCCGGGGCUUGCAUGCCUAGGAACGUCCGUUUAAUUUCUUAGUUUUCUUUCCUUUGGGCUCUGAGAGCCCUCUUUUGUACCAAAAAAAAAAAAGAUCAUAGAAGCUAAAAUACAAAUUGUCUGAUCAUCUUCAUCUAACAGUCAAUGAUGG
Molecule: long non-coding RNA, 214 nt
Filed under: Medicago truncatula (barrel medic)
Lineage: Eukaryota; Viridiplantae; Streptophyta; Magnoliopsida; Fabales; Fabaceae
Description: long non-coding RNA (MTRU_LNC001383)
Source: RNAcentral